RNAcentral lists this long non-coding RNA (341 nucleotides) under Physcomitrium patens. RNAcentral describes it as "long non-coding RNA (PPAT_LNC012495)". Lineage: Eukaryota; Viridiplantae; Streptophyta; Bryopsida; Funariales; Funariaceae. The record is from RNAcentral.
CUUGAAAUCAUUGUUCUACUUGCACCUUCCGAUCUUCAAAAUCUGCUAUAAAACUCCUCGUACCCUCAAAAGAGUAACAGUAUGUCUUAAUUAAACACCUUAACUUCAAAUGGCUAUAACUUUUCCAUCCUAACUCCAAAUCCUCUAAGUUUUGUACACAAAUUGUACCCCAAAUCCUAAACUUUACAAUCCUAGGUUGUAAUCUCCAAAUGCUCUCUUUGAGGUCGCCGAAACCCUCCUUAAGAUCACGGGUAGUCUCCUCAAAGCCCAUUAGGCAUGGUAUUCAACCAAUAGGUAUGAAGUUCCCCAUUCCUUGCCUUCAUCCGACCAUGCCUUGCUUU